AAGAAAGUGACCCCCGCCCCGGGGAGGGGCAACGCUAAUAGACCGACGCGAAAACAAGUUCCACGAAGAAGAACCCAGCGUACUGGAAAGAGCCCCCGUUCGCGAGCGGCAA
RNAcentral lists this small RNA (112 nucleotides) under Burkholderia sp. 8Y. Its description in RNAcentral is "Bp1_684". It matches the Rfam family "Burkholderia sRNA Bp1_Cand684_SIPHT". The record is from RNAcentral. Lineage: Bacteria; Pseudomonadati; Pseudomonadota; Betaproteobacteria; Burkholderiales; Burkholderiaceae.